RNAcentral lists this ribosomal RNA (440 nucleotides) under uncultured bacterium. Its description in RNAcentral is "partial 16S ribosomal RNA". It matches the Rfam family "Bacterial small subunit ribosomal RNA", at positions 339 to 795 of the family's 1533-position model. The record is from RNAcentral.
CUACGGGCGGCUCCAGUGAGGAAUAUUGCACAAUGGGGGCAACCCUGAUGCAGCAACGCCGCGUGGAGGAUGACGCAUUUCGGUGUGUAAACUCCUUUUAUCAGAGAAGAACCAUGACGGUAUCUGAUGAAUAAGCUCCGGCUAACUCCGUGCCAGCAGCCGCGGUAAUACGGAGGGAGCAAGCGUUAUUCGGAAUCACUGGGCGUAAAGGACGCGUAGGCCGGUCUGUAAGUCAGGUGUGAAAUGCAAUGGCUCAACCAUUGAACUGCACUUGAAACUGCGGACCUAGAGUAUGGAAGGGGCAGAUGGAAUUAGUGGUGUAGGGGUAAAAUCCGUAGAUAUCACUAGGAAUACCGAAAGCGAAGGCGAUCUGCUGGGACAUAACUGACGCUGAGGCGUGAAAGCGUGGGGAGCAAACAGGAUUAGAUACCCUUGUAGUC